RNAcentral lists this ribosomal RNA (253 nucleotides) under uncultured bacterium. RNAcentral's name for it is "partial 16S ribosomal RNA". It matches the Rfam family "Bacterial small subunit ribosomal RNA", at positions 524 to 776 of the family's 1533-position model. The record is from RNAcentral.
UACGUAGGGCGCAAGCGUUAUCCGGAAUUAUUGGGCGUAAAGAGCUCGUAGGCGGUUUGUCGCGUCUGCCGUGAAAGUCCGGGGCUCAACUCCGGAUCUGCGGUGGGUACGGGCAGACUAGAGUGCAGUAGGGGAGACUGGAAUUCCUGGUGUAGCGGUGAAAUGCGCAGAUAUCAGGAGGAAUACCGAUGGCGAAGGCAGGUCUCUGGGCUGACACUGACGCUCAUGCACGAAAGCGUGGGGAGCAAACAGG